CCUACGGGGGGCAGCAGUGGGGAAUAUUGGACAAUGGGGGGAACCCUGAUCCAGCCAUGCCGCGUGUGUGAAGAAGGCCCUCGGGUUGUAAAGCACUUUCAGUGAGGAAGAACGCCUGGUGGUUAAUACCCAUCAGGAAAGACAUCACUCACAGAAGAAGCACCGGCUAACUCCGUGCCAGCAGCCGCGGUAAUACGGAGGGUGCGAGCGUUAAUCGGAAUUACUGGGCGUAAAGCGCGCGUAGGUGGCUUGAUAAGCCGGUUGUGAAAGCCCCGGGCUCAACCUGGGAACGACAUCCGGAACUGUCAAGCUAGAGUGCAGGAGAGGAAGGUAGAAUUCCCGGUGUAGCGGUGAAAUGCGUAGAGAUCGGGAGGAAUACCAGUGGCGAAGGCGGCCUUCUGGACUGACACUGACACUGAGGUGCGAAAGCGUGGGUAGCAAACAGGAUUAGAUACCCCAGUAGUC
Molecule: ribosomal RNA, 465 nt
Filed under: Vreelandella stevensii
Lineage: Bacteria; Pseudomonadati; Pseudomonadota; Gammaproteobacteria; Oceanospirillales; Halomonadaceae
Description: partial 16S ribosomal RNA
Rfam family: Bacterial small subunit ribosomal RNA
Source: RNAcentral